AGAGUUUGAUCCUGGCUCAGGAUGAACGCUAGCGGCAGGCUUAACACAUGCAAGUCGAGGGGUAACGAUGUAGCUUGCUACAGGCGACGACCGGCGCACGGGUGAGUAACGCGUAUGCAACCUACCUUUAACUGAGGGAUAGCCCAGGGAAACUUGGAUUAAUACCUCAUAGUAUGUAUCAUUCGCAUGUUUGAUAUAUUAAAGUUCCGGCGGUUAAAGAUGGGCAUGCGUGCCAUUAGAUAGUUGGUGAGGUAACGGCUCACCAAGUCAGCGAUGGCUACGGGGUCUUAAAGGAUGGUCCCGCACACUGGUACUGAGACACGGACCAGACUCCUACGGGAGGCAGCAGUGAGGAAUAUUGGUCAAUGGACGCAACUCUGAACCAGCCAUGCCGCGUGGAGGAAGACGGCCCUAUGUGUUGUAAACUGCUUUUAUAUAGGAAGAAAAUGUUCUACGUGUAGAGCACUGACGGUACUAUAAGAAUAAGCAUCGGCUAACUCCGUGCCAGCAGCCGCGGUAAUACGGAGGAUGCAAGCGUUAUCCGGAUUUAUUAGGUUUAAAGGGUGUGUAGGCGGAAUUUUAAGUCAGUGGUGAAAUCUCACAGCUCAACUGUGAAACUGCCAUUGAUACUGGAAUUCUUGAGUAUAGUUGAGGUAGGCGGAAUGUGUAAUGUAGCGGUGAAAUGCUUAGAUAUUACACAGAACACCGAUUGCGAAGGCAGCUUACUAAGCUAUUACUGACGCUGAUGCACGAAAGCGUGGGGAGCGAACAGGAUUAGAUACCCUGGUAGUCCACGCCGUAAAAGAUGAUUACUCGUUGUGGGGGGCGAGAGAUGGGCAGCGACGGAGCGAAAGCAGUAAGGAAUCCACCUGGGGAGUACGUGCGCAAGAAUGAAACUCAAAGGAAUUGAAGGGGGCCCGCACAAGCGGAGGAACAUGUGGUUUCAUUCGAUGAUCCGCGAGGAACCUUACCUGGGCUUAAAUGAAGUAUGACGUUUAGAAAUAGAUCUUUCCUUCGGGACAAUUUACAAGGUGCUGCAUGGUUGUCGUCAGCUCAUGCCGUGAGGCGUCGGGUUAAGUCCCAUAACGAGCGCAACCCCUAUCGUUAGUUGCUAGCAGGUAAUGCUGAGGACUCUGGUGAGACUGCCACCGUAAGGUGAGAGGAAGGCGGGGAUGACGUCAAGUCAGCACGGCCCUUAUAUCCGGGGCUACACACGUGUUACAAUGGUCAGCACAAAGGGCAGCUACACCGCGAGGUGAUGCUAAUCUCAAAAACUGAUCUCAGUUCGGAUCGGAGUCUGGAACUCGACUCCGUGAAGUUGGAUUCGCUAGUAAUCGUAUAUCAGCAAUGAUACGGUGAAUACGUUCCCGGGCCUUGUACACACCGCCCGUCAAACCAUGGAAGCUGGGGGUACCUGAAGUCUGUGACCGUAAGGAUCGGCCUAGGGUAAAACUAGUGACUGGGGCUAAGUCGUAACAAGGUAA
RNAcentral lists this ribosomal RNA (1484 nucleotides) under uncultured prokaryote. Its description in RNAcentral is "partial 16S ribosomal RNA". It matches the Rfam family "Bacterial small subunit ribosomal RNA". The record is from RNAcentral.